AUAGGCGUGCGCUGAACGGCGAGGCAGUGGAUUGCAAAUCCUCACAAUGCAGGUUCGAAUCCUGUCGCCUAUUCCA
Molecule: transfer RNA, 76 nt
Filed under: bacterium
Lineage: Bacteria
Description: tRNA-Cys
Rfam family: tRNA
About the family: Transfer RNA (tRNA) molecules are approximately 80 nucleotides in length. Their secondary structure includes four short double-helical elements and three loops (D, anti-codon, and T loops). Further hydrogen bonds mediate the characteristic L-shaped molecular structure. tRNAs have two regions of fundamental functional importance: the anti-codon, which is responsible for specific mRNA codon recognition, and the 3' end, to which the tRNAs corresponding amino acid is attached (by aminoacyl-tRNA synthetases). tRNAs cope with the degeneracy of the genetic code in two manners: having more than one tRNA (with a specific anti-codon) for a particular amino acid; and 'wobble' base-pairing, i.e. permitting non-standard base-pairing at the 3rd anti-codon position.
Source: RNAcentral